This 1480-nucleotide ribosomal RNA is filed under the name uncultured bacterium. RNAcentral's name for it is "bacterial SSU rRNA". It matches the Rfam family "Bacterial small subunit ribosomal RNA". The record is from RNAcentral.
AACGAACGCUGGCAGCGUGGAUUAGGCAUGCAAGUCGAACGGAAAUUUCCGGUGUAGCAAUACAUUGGGAAGGAUAGUGGCGAAAGGGCGAGUAAUACGUAGGUAACCUGCCUCGAAGCUGGGGAUAACUUGCCGAAAGGCGAGCUAAUACCGAAUGUGGUUGUUCUUCGCAUGAAGGACGGACUAAACGACGGGGAUUCUUCGGAACCUGUCGCUUUGAGAGGGGCCUGCGUGCCAUCAGCUAGUUGGUGAGGUAACGGCUCACCAAGGCUUACGGCUAGGUGGUCUGAGAGGAUGGUCACCCGCACUGGGACUGAGACACUGCCCUGACUCCUACGGGAGGCUGCAGUCGAGAAUCUUUUGCAAUGGGCGCAAGCCUGACAAAGCGACGCUGCGUGGAGGAUGAAGGCCUUCGGGUUGUAAACUCUUGUCAUUCGGGAAUAACGAGCGGUGCAUUAAUAAUGCAUCGCAGUGACGGUACCGGAAGAGGAAGCCACGGCAAACUCUGUGCCAGCAGCCGCGGUAAUACAGAGGUGGCGAGCGUUGUUCGGAUUACUGGGCGUAAAGGGCGCGUAGGCGGUUUUGUGUGUCGGAUGUGAAAUCCCACUGCUCAACGGUGGAAUGGCAUUCGAAAUUGCAGAACUAGAGUGUAGGAUGGGAGAGUGGAAUUCUAGGUGUAGCGGUGAAAUGCGUUGAUAUCUAGAAGAACACCGGUGGCGAAGGCGGCUCUCUGGAAUACUACUGACGCUGAGGCGCGAAAGCUGGGGGAGCAAACAGGUUUAGAUACCCUGGUAGUCCCAGCCCUAAACGGUGUGAACUUGGUGUGGCGGUGUUGACCCCGCCGUGCCGGAGCUAACGCGUUAAGUUCACCGCCUGGGGAGUACGAUCGCAAAAUUAAAACUCAAAGAAAUUGACGGGGGCCCGCACAAGCGGAGGAGCAUGUGGCUUAAUUCGAUGCAACGCGAAGAACCUUACCAAGGUUUGACAUGCAGCUGCACGACCUAUGAAAGUAGGUUUCCUUCGAGGGUGCUGCACAGGUGCUGCAUGGCUGUCGUCAGUUCGUGCCGUGAGGUGUUGGGUUAAGUCCCGCAACGAACGCAACCCCUGUGACUAGUUGCCAUCAGGUAAUGCUGGGCACUUUAGUCAGACUGCCCAUUAGUGGAGGAAGGUGGGGACGACGUCAAGUCAGUAUGGCCUUUAUACCUUGGGCUGCACACGUGCUACAAUGGUUGGUACAGAAGGAAGCAAGACCGUAAGGUGGAGCAAAUCCCUAAAGCCAACCCCAGUUCGGAUUGGAGUCUGCAACUCGACUCCAUGAAGCCGGAUUCGCUAGUAAUGGCGCAUCAGCUACGGCGCCGUGAAUACGUUCCCGGGCCUUGUACACACCGCCCGUCACAUCAUGAAAGCCGUCUGCACCCGAAGCCGGUGAGCGAACCUGAAAAGGACGCAGCUGUCUAAGGUGUGGGUGGUAAUUGGGAUG